GGGGGGGCAAGCGUUGUUCGGAAUUACUGGGCGUAAAGGGCGCGCAGGCGGCCUGGCAAGUCCUACGUGAAAUCCCACAGCUCAACUGUGGAACUGCGUGGGAUACUGCCAGGCUUGAGUCCGGGAGAGGAGAGUGGAAUUCCCAGUGUAGCGGUGAAAUGCGUAGAUAUUGGGAGGAACACCGGUGGCGAAGGCGGCUCUCUGGACCGGUACUGACGCUGAGGCGCGAAAGCUAGGGGAGCAAACGGGGGAUUAGAUACCCCGGUAGUCCUAGCCGUAAACUUUGAGCACUUUGUGUGGCGGGUAUCGACCCCCUGCCGUGCAGAAGCUAACGCAUUAAGUGCUCCGCCUGGGGAUACGGUCGCAAGGCUG
RNAcentral lists this ribosomal RNA (372 nucleotides) under uncultured organism. RNAcentral describes it as "partial 16S ribosomal RNA". It matches the Rfam family "Bacterial small subunit ribosomal RNA", at positions 528 to 896 of the family's 1533-position model. The record is from RNAcentral.